CAACGAGUCGCAAGACCGCGAGGUUUAGCAAAUCUCUUAAAGCCGUUCUCAGUUCGGAUUGUAGGCUGCAACUCGCCUACAUGAAGUCGGAAUCGCUAGUAAUCGCGGAUCAGCAUGCCGCGGUGAAUACGUUCCCGGGCCUUGUACACACCGCCCGUCAAGCCAUGGAAGCCGGGAGUGCCUGAAGUGCGUGAGCGCAAGCAGCGCCCUAAGGUAAAACCGGUGACUGGGGCUAAGUCGUAACAAGGUAUC
RNAcentral lists this ribosomal RNA (252 nucleotides) under uncultured bacterium. RNAcentral describes it as "partial 16S ribosomal RNA". It matches the Rfam family "Bacterial small subunit ribosomal RNA", at positions 1240 to 1500 of the family's 1533-position model. The record is from RNAcentral.